GACGAACGCUGGUGGCGUGCUUAACACAUGCAAGUCGAACGGAAAGGCCCUGCUUUUGUGGGGUGCUCGAGUGGCGAACGGGUGAGUAACACGUGAGUAACCUGCCCUUGACUUUGGGAUAACUUCAGGAAACUGGGGCUAAUACCGGAUAGGAGCUCCUGCUGCAUGGUGGGGGUUGGAAAGUUUCGGCGGUUGGGGAUGGACUCGCGGCUUAUCAGCUUGUUGGUGGGGUAGUGGCUUACCAAGGCUUUGACGGGUAGCCGGCCUGGGAGGGUGACCGGCCACAUUGGGACUGAGAUACGGCCCAGACUCCUACGGGAGGCAGCAGUGGGGAAUAUUGCACAAUGGGCAGGAGCCUGAUGCAGCGACGCCGCGUGCGGGAUGACGGCCUUCGGGUUGUAAACCGCUUUCGCCUGUGACGAAGCGUGAGUGACGGUAAUGGGUAAAGAAGCACCGGCUAACUACGUG
RNAcentral lists this ribosomal RNA (468 nucleotides) under uncultured bacterium. RNAcentral describes it as "partial 16S ribosomal RNA". It matches the Rfam family "Bacterial small subunit ribosomal RNA", at positions 28 to 507 of the family's 1533-position model. The record is from RNAcentral.